This is a long non-coding RNA of Mobula hypostoma (lesser devil ray), 2112 nucleotides long. RefSeq lists it as uncharacterized. The transcript has 4 exons. The record is from RefSeq and is a predicted model, not a curated record. NCBI's taxonomy places the organism in Eukaryota, Metazoa, Chordata, Chondrichthyes, Myliobatiformes, Myliobatidae.
ACAGAAACAAAGGUCAAAACAUGGAUUCGGCAGGAAGUCACUUUCCUGCACGGAUACACUGAAUGAGAACGGCUCCUACAAUUGCAUUGGAUACUCUCUUGUUAUUCCUUGAUACUGUUCUGGUUAUUGGACGCCGGAUUCCAGCCCUACUCGAUCACAACAACAGUGACCAUAAUUCGUAAAGGAAAGAAAAUUGCUUUGGCCCUUUUUGACAUAUAUGCUGUUUACAGAAAUCUUGCUGAACACAGGCCUCUUUCAGACAGAUGUUCAGAUUUCAGACAAAGAACGUCACCGUGAAGGCGGAAUGCUGAUUCUGCCCACAGAUGAUCCCGGAUCCGGGCAGAAGUCGGUUCUGCCGAAAUCCUCAAAAAAUCUGGUUUUGGUAGGGCAAAUCUGAUGGCAGAAUAUAGUAUUAAUGGUAAGACUCUUGGCAGUGUGGAGGAUCAGAGGGAUCUUGGGGUCCGAGUCCAUAGGACGCUCAAAGCAGCUACGCCGCUUGACACUGUUGUUAAGAAGGCACACGGUGUAUUGACCUUCAUUAGUCGUGGAAUUGAAUUUAGGACCCGAGUGGUAAUGUUGCAGCUAUAUAGAACCCUGGGCAAACCAAACUUGGAGUACUGUGCUCAGUUCUGGUCGCCUCACUAGAGGAAGGAUGUGGAAGCCACAGAAAGGGUGCAGAGGAGGUGUACAAGGAUGUUGGCUGGAAUAGGGAGGAUGCCUUAUGAGAAUAGUUUGAGUGAACUCUGCCUUUUCUCCUUAGAGCGACGGAGGAUGAGAGGUGACCUGAUAAGAUGAUGAGAGGCACUGACCGUGUGGAUAGUCAGAGGCUCUUUCUCAAGGCUGAAAUGGUUGAAACAAGUGAACACAAGUUUAAGGUGUUGGGGAAUAGGUACAGAGGAGAUAUUACAGAGAGUGGUGAGUUCGUGGAAUGAACAGGAUUGAACAACUUUUCAUAAGCAGAGUGUUUGAUGGUUUUGGGCCUCUGCCGACUGGAAAUCAGAAGAAUAUGGGGUGACGUCAUGAGACCUAUCGAAUUGUGAAAGGCCUUAUUAGAGUGGAUGUGGAGAGGAUGUUUCCCAUGGCGGUGAAAGUUCCGUCUGUCCGUAGCACUCCAGAAACAAUAAGUGUGCUGUUGUCCGCACUUAGUUCAAUCCUGCCGCCAGGAAUUAUCAUGCUAUUCUCCUCAAGCCACAGGUGUAGCCAUAUCAUUCAUCGCCUCAAGGACCCUUCUGCCGAUCUCGUUCAUGCUGACCAAGCUAUUUCGUUGAACUAUUCCCAUUUGCCUGCAACUGGACCAUGUAUAAACUGUUAUAUACUUCUGUUGUCUACAUGAUUUCUGAACAUUAUAUUUCCACGCAUCUCCAGCAUUCCCUUUGGCAGUUCCUAGCAUUUGCGGAACACAUUGUGCAUAAGGCUGUCCCUUUUACUUUACCUCACUAGCUAUGAAUCUAAGUUCUUUAUUUUAGACCACUGUAGCCUGCUAAAAUAGGUGAACAUCGAAAUUACUUGUGCCUUUCGUGAUUUUAGAAACUUCUGUAUGAUCAUGCCACGACCUGCCACGCUCGGAGAGUAAGGUCUCGGUCGAACCACCCUCCUAAGUUCAAGAGACUCCCAUUCCAGUUGGACGAUUGUGAAUCAUUUUCUGGACCGCUUGCGGCUUCAGGAUGAAGGACUUACAUUAUGAUCAUGAUGUUGAAGAUUAACCAUAUUGUCUCUCUGUUUUAAUCUGCGACGCCAUGGCGUUUUGAAAUUGCAUAUGUCAAAAACAAACCCGACAAAAAUGGCAAAUCAAUGGAGCUCGUGAAGGAGGAAGUAGGAAAUGAUUCACUUCAGGCAAGGGUCACUUGGCAAUGAGAAAGAUGAUGCAUAAUCACUGGCAAACACAGAACAGAAAUACUGACAACAGUUUCUAAUAUCAUCCAGAGAAUCUAUCGCUACUGAAAUGAUCCAAAGUUCAGUGUUAAUGUUAAUGUUUUGGAGCCAAUGGAAAUUGUUAUCACACGAGACGGAACAGAUAUAAUUUGGGAACAACAGGAAUUCUGCAGAUGCUGGAAAUUCAACCAACACACAUAAAAGUUGCUGGUGAACGCAGCAGGCCAGGCAGCAUCUCUA